Molecule: ribosomal RNA, 433 nt
Filed under: uncultured bacterium
Lineage: Bacteria
Description: partial 16S ribosomal RNA
Rfam family: Bacterial small subunit ribosomal RNA
Source: RNAcentral
AGCGAACGCUGGCGGCAGGCUUAACACAUGCAAGUCGAGCGGGCCCUUCGGGGUCAGCGGCAGACGGGUGAGUAUCAAAUGGGAACGUACCCUUUGGUUCGGAAGACCGCUGGGACAGUAGCGCUAAUACCGGAUACGCCCUUUACGGGGAAGGCUUGCUGCUGAAGGUUGGGCCCGCGGCUGUUUAGCUAGUUGGUGGUGUAUUGGCCUAGCAAGGCGACGCUCAGUAGCUGGUCUGAGAGGGUGAUCAGCCACACUGGGCCGGGGACGCGGGCCGGACUCCUACGGGAGGAAGGAGUGGGGGAUAGUUGACGAGGGGCGCAAUCCUGAUCCAGCCAUGCCGCGUUAGUGAUGAAGGCCUUAGGGGUGUAAAGCUCUGUUGGCCGGGACGAUAAUGACGGUACCGGAAGAAGAAGCCCCGGCUAACUUCGUG